Molecule: small nuclear RNA, 89 nt
Filed under: Capra hircus (goat)
Lineage: Eukaryota; Metazoa; Chordata; Mammalia; Artiodactyla; Bovidae
Source: RNAcentral
AUGCUUUAACAGCACAUAUGCUAAAAUUUGAAAGAUACAGUAGCAUGGCCCCUCUGCAAAGAUGACAUAAUGAAGUGUUCCCUAGUUUU